CAGCAGCCGCGGGAAUACGAAGGGGGCUAGCGUUGCUCGGAAUCACUGGGCGUAAAGGGUGCGUAGGCGGGUCUUUAAGUCAGGGGUGAAAUCCUGGAGCUCAACUCCAGAACCGCCUUUGAUACUGAAGAUCUUGAGUUCGGGAGAGGUGAGUGGAACUGCGAGUGUAGAGGUGAAAUUCGUAGAUAUUCGCAAGAACACCAGUGGCGAAGGCGGCACACUGGCCCGAUACUGACGCUGAGGCACGAAAGCGUGGGGAGCAAACAGGAUUAGAUACCCCAGUAGUCCCUGUCUCUUAUAU
This 301-nucleotide ribosomal RNA is filed under the name uncultured bacterium. Its description in RNAcentral is "partial 16S ribosomal RNA". It matches the Rfam family "Bacterial small subunit ribosomal RNA", at positions 509 to 809 of the family's 1533-position model. The record is from RNAcentral.